UAGUACAAUACCCCUAAUUGAUGUGUUACUUUCCGUAUGACUUUGCUACUACUGUGCUUGCUGAUGCUCCCAUCCCACAAUUGCAGAACAGUUAUGAAGGACGUUGGAUGCCUCAAACCGAAAACCUGGAACAUGUAAGUUUGUUGUUUACUAAAAUACAGUUGUCAUCCAUGUUUGUGAAAAAAAAAGGCAUUCUGCAUAUAGUACCACUGAGGCUGAAUUGCUAUGUUGCCUUCAUUGCUUGUUCGGGGCAUGUGUUUGUGCCAAUUUGGAAAGCCAGAGACGCAUGGUAUGUUAUGCUGCUGGACGUCAAGGCAUCGAAAAUAUAUGCGCUGGAUGUGAACCGGUCUCCGGAGAGCAUUCUGCGAAGGGAGUCCAACAUGACUAAGAUCUGUCAUGCUUUGGGGAAAAUGUUCGUCCACAGCAGGAACCUCGUUAACUUCCGCCACACAAACCCUGACCCCUCCAAUUGGGGACACUUCAUCUACCCACAGGGUCUACCAAAAGACCUGGAUAGGUUACUCACACUCA
Arachis ipaensis is the source of this 531-nucleotide non-coding RNA. The record is from RefSeq and is a predicted model, not a curated record. Lineage: Eukaryota; Viridiplantae; Streptophyta; Magnoliopsida; Fabales; Fabaceae.